This 254-nucleotide ribosomal RNA is filed under the name uncultured bacterium. RNAcentral's name for it is "partial 16S ribosomal RNA". It matches the Rfam family "Bacterial small subunit ribosomal RNA", at positions 524 to 777 of the family's 1533-position model. The record is from RNAcentral.
UACGAAGGGGGCUAGCGUUGCUCGGAAUCACUGGGCGUAAAGGGUGCGUAGGCGGGUCUUUAAGUCAGGGGUGAAAUCCUGGAGCUCAACUCCAGAACUGCCUUUGAUACUGAGGAUCUUGAGUUCGGGAGAGGUGAGUGGAACUGCGAGUGUAGAGGUGAAAUUCGUAGAUAUUCGCAAGAACACCAGUGGCGAAAGCGGCUCACUGGCCCGAUACUGACGCUGAGGCGCGAAAGCGUGGGGAGCAAACAGGG